RNAcentral lists this long non-coding RNA (204 nucleotides) under Mytilus galloprovincialis (Mediterranean mussel). The record is from RNAcentral. Lineage: Eukaryota; Metazoa; Mollusca; Bivalvia; Mytilida; Mytilidae.
CUAAAAAUAAGUCAGUAUGACCAAAAUAGUCAAUUGACCCCCUAAGGAGUUAUUGCCCUUCAUAGUCAAUUUUUAACAAUUUUCUUUAAAAUUUGAAGAUUUUCAAUAACAUUUUCCACAGAAAGUACUGUUAUAGAUAGAGAUAAUUGUAAGCAGCAAGAAUGUUUAGUAAAGUAAGAUCUACAAACACAUCACCAUCACCAA